GGCCGCUUGGCGCAAUGGUAGCGCGUGGUCCUCCUAAGACUGAGGUUGCGGGUUCGAGUCCCGUGGUGGUCG
RNAcentral lists this transfer RNA (72 nucleotides) under Phaeoacremonium minimum UCRPA7. RNAcentral's name for it is "tRNA-Arg (CCT) (tRNA-Arg-CCT-1-1)". It matches the Rfam family "tRNA". Rfam says of the family: Transfer RNA (tRNA) molecules are approximately 80 nucleotides in length. Their secondary structure includes four short double-helical elements and three loops (D, anti-codon, and T loops). Further hydrogen bonds mediate the characteristic L-shaped molecular structure. tRNAs have two regions of fundamental functional importance: the anti-codon, which is responsible for specific mRNA codon recognition, and the 3' end, to which the tRNAs corresponding amino acid is attached (by aminoacyl-tRNA synthetases). tRNAs cope with the degeneracy of the genetic code in two manners: having more than one tRNA (with a specific anti-codon) for a particular amino acid; and 'wobble' base-pairing, i.e. permitting non-standard base-pairing at the 3rd anti-codon position. Lineage: Eukaryota; Fungi; Ascomycota; Sordariomycetes; Togniniales; Togniniaceae. The record is from RNAcentral.